UUUUUUUAUGGAGAGUUUGAUCCUGGCUCAGGACGAACGCUGGCGGCGUGCCUAAUACAUGCAAGUCGAGCGGACCG
Molecule: ribosomal RNA, 77 nt
Filed under: Bacillus sp. TH008
Lineage: Bacteria; Bacillati; Bacillota; Bacilli; Caryophanales; Bacillaceae
Description: partial 16S ribosomal RNA
Rfam family: Bacterial small subunit ribosomal RNA
Source: RNAcentral